This 467-nucleotide ribosomal RNA is filed under the name uncultured bacterium. RNAcentral's name for it is "partial 16S ribosomal RNA". It matches the Rfam family "Bacterial small subunit ribosomal RNA", at positions 28 to 506 of the family's 1533-position model. The record is from RNAcentral.
GACGAACGCUGGCGGCGUGCUUAACACAUGCAAGUCGAACGGAAAGGCCCUGCUUUUGUGGGGUGCUCGAGUGGCGAACGGGUGAGUAACACGUGAGUAACCUGCCCUUGACUUUGGGAUAACUUCAGGAAACUGGGGCUAAUACCGGAUAGGAGCUCCUGCUGCAUGGUGGGGGUUGGAAAGUUUCGGCGGUUGGGGAUGGACUCGCGGCUUAUCAGCUUGUUGGUGGGGUAGUGGCUUACCAAGGCUUUGACGGGUAGCCGGCCUGAGAGGGUGACCGGCCAAAUUGGGACUGGGAUACGGCCCAGACUCCUAGGGGGGGCAGCAGGGGGGAAUAUUGAACAAUGGGGGGAAGCCUGAUGCAGCAACGCCGCGGGGGGGAUGACGGCCUUCGGGUUGUAAACCGUUUUGCCCUGUGACGAAGGGUGGGGGGCGGUAAUGGGUAAAGAAGCACCGGCUAACUACGU